RNAcentral lists this ribosomal RNA (654 nucleotides) under uncultured bacterium. RNAcentral describes it as "SSU rRNA". It matches the Rfam family "Bacterial small subunit ribosomal RNA", at positions 245 to 915 of the family's 1533-position model. The record is from RNAcentral.
CUGGUUGGUGGGGUAACGGCCUACCAAGGCGACGAUCGAUAGCUGGUCUCAGAGGAUGAUCAGCCAGACUGGGACUGAGACACGGCCCAGACUCCUACGGGAGGCAGCAGUUAGGAAUUUUGGGCAAUGGGCGGAAGCCUGACCCAGCAACGCCGCGUGGGUGACGAAGGCCUUCGGGUUGUAAAGCCCUUUUCUGGGGGAAGAUGAUGACGGUACCCCAGGAAGAAGCACCGGCUAACUACGUGCCAGCAGCCGCGGUAAUACGUAGGGUGCGAGCGUUGCCCGGAUUUAUUGGGCGUAAAGGGCGCGUAGGCGGUCACGCACGUCCGUUGUGAAAUCGCUCGGCUCAACUGGGCGGGGUCAGCGGAUACGGCGUGGCUGGAGCAAGCUAGGGGGCAAUGGAAUUCCCGGUGUAGUGGUGGAAUGCGUAGAUAUCGGGAGGAACACCAGUGGCGAAGGCGGUUGCCUGGAGCUUUGCUGACGCUGAUGCGCGAAAGCGUGGGGAGCGAUCCGGAUUAGAUACCCGGGUAGUCCACGCCGUAAACGAUGCGGACUAGGUGUCGGGGGUAUCGACCCCCUCGGCGCCGCAGCUAACGCAUUAAGUCCGCCGCCUGGGGACUACGGCCGCAAGGCUAAAACUCAAAGGAAUUGACG